This is a non-coding RNA of Gavia stellata (red-throated loon), 46 nucleotides long. The record is from Rfam. Lineage: Eukaryota; Metazoa; Chordata; Aves; Gaviiformes; Gaviidae.
UCAAAGGCUCUUUUAAGAGCCACCCACCUUUUCAAUGAAGGGGCUG